This 491-nucleotide ribosomal RNA is filed under the name uncultured bacterium. RNAcentral's name for it is "partial 16S ribosomal RNA". It matches the Rfam family "Bacterial small subunit ribosomal RNA", at positions 29 to 506 of the family's 1533-position model. The record is from RNAcentral.
AGUGAACGCUGGCGGUAGGCCUAACACAUGCAAGUCGAACGGCAGCACAGUAAGAGCUUGCUCUUACGGGUGGCGAGUGGCGGACGGGUGAGGAAUACAUCGGAAUCUACUUUUUCGUGGGGGAUAACGUAGGGAAACUUACGCUAAUACCGCAUACGACCUACGGGUGAAAGCAGGGGAUCUUCGGACCUUGCGCGAUUGAAUGAGCCGAUGUCGGAUUAGCUAGUUGGCGGGGUAAAGGCCCACCAAGGCGACGAUCCGUAGCUGGUCUGAGAGGAUGAUCAGCCAAACAGGAACUGAGACACGGUCCAGACUCCUACGGGAGGCAGCAGUGGGGAAUAUUGGACAAUGGGCGCAAGCCUGAUCCAGCCAUACCGCGUGGGUGAAGAAGGCCUUCGGGUUGUAAAGCCCUUUUGUUGGGAAAGAAAAGCAGCAGGUUAAUACCCCGCUGUUCUGACGGUACCCAAAGAAUAAACACCGGCUAACUUCGU